CUUGUACACACCGUCCCGUCACACCAUGGGAGUUGGUUCUACCCGAAGGCGAUGCGCUAACCCGCAAGGGAGGCAGUCGACCACGGUAGGGUCAGCGACUGGGGUGAAGUCGUAACAAGGUAGCCGUAGGGGAACCUGCGGCUGGAUCACCUCCUUUCUAAGGAUACGUCUCCAGCAAAGCUCUCACGAGGUUUGUUAUUGAUGUUCCAAUAAAAUGCGGUUCGCCGCCGUCUUCGUUUCUCUUUCCUAUUUCAUGCCUUACGGCGCCGGACAUUGGUCUGGCUUGUGAGGCAUGCGAUCGCGAGCCUGGUCUUUGUUGACCGGCUGUCGUGCGGCCAUAGGCCCGUAGCUCAGCCUGGUUAGAGCGCACGCCUGAUAAGCGUGAGGUCGGCAGUUCGAGUCUGCCCGGGCCUACCAGCCCCCACCAGACUAGUUCUGCUGGACUGAAAGCAGCAUGACCCGCACCGACAAGCUCUCCUGAGCCUCGCACUGUUCCUUGGAAUGGGGCCGUAGCUCAGUUGGUAGAGCGCCUGCUUUGCAAGCAGGAUGUCGUCGGUUCGACUCCGUCCGGCUCCACCAGGCCGCCCCGCGGCCCUGGAAUAGACCUGAGGCUCCCGUUGGACGCCUCGGUUGUUUCCCUGGAACUCGUAGAUCGCAUCAAGAGAUUGCCCCGGCUGCCUUGCAGCUGACGGCAUUGAUAUUGUGAAGGAAGAAUUGAUCCGGCCUGUUCAUAGGCUUUGAGGAUCCGUUCGAGAGAAGACAUUGUCUGACAAAAAUCAGGCAGGAACCCGCUGGCAUUUCUUUCCAGUCAGCGGAAUUAUUUCCUGCAUGAGUUUUGCUGANAAACGAUCAAACGUUGAANGGCUUCUGACGGAUGCCUUGGCGUAGAGAGGCGAUGAAGGACGUGGCAAGCUGCGAUAAGAACCGGGGAGGCGCUAGCACCCUUUGAUCCGGUUAUUUCCGAAUGGGGGAACCCACCUUUACAGUCUUCCAACUUUGCUCUCCCUUGGGAGGGUACGGAUUGGCGGAUUGUUCAAAGGUAUAAUGACCUGAAUACAUAGGGUUCAUUAAGCAAACCCGGGGAACUGAAACAUCUAAGUACCC
RNAcentral lists this unclassified non-coding RNA (1104 nucleotides) under bacterium GI941. RNAcentral's name for it is "partial contains 16S ribosomal RNA, 16S-23S ribosomal RNA intergenic spacer, and 23S ribosomal RNA". The stretch from base 848 to 1104 matches the Rfam family "Bacterial large subunit ribosomal RNA", at positions 1 to 211 of the family's 2925-position model. The record is from RNAcentral.